UACGGAGGGUGCGAACGUUAAUCGGAAUCACUGGGCGUAAAGCGCGCGUAGGCGGUUUGUUAAGUGGGAUGUGAAAGCCCCGGGCUUAACCUGGGAAUUGCAUUUCAAACUGGCGAACUAGAGUGCGAUAGAGGGAGGUAGAAUUUCCUGUGUAGCGGUGAAAUGCGUAGAUAUAGGAAGGAAUACCAGUGGCGAAGGCGGCCUCCUGGAUCGACACUGACGCUAAGGCGCGAAAGCGUGGGGAGCAAACAGG
RNAcentral lists this ribosomal RNA (253 nucleotides) under uncultured bacterium. RNAcentral's name for it is "partial 16S ribosomal RNA". It matches the Rfam family "Bacterial small subunit ribosomal RNA", at positions 524 to 776 of the family's 1533-position model. The record is from RNAcentral.